GGCACCAUGGCAGAGUGGUCAAUUGCAAGGGCCUGCAAAGCUCUAUAGUCAUCGGUUCAAAUCCGAUUGGUGCCUCCA
Molecule: transfer RNA, 78 nt
Filed under: Candidatus Altimarinota bacterium
Lineage: Bacteria; Candidatus Altimarinota
Description: tRNA-Cys
Rfam family: tRNA
About the family: Transfer RNA (tRNA) molecules are approximately 80 nucleotides in length.
Source: RNAcentral